AUUUGCUUUCGUCAUAUGCGAGUUAGGGGCUUGCCGACAGGUAAACCGCCGCUGUACUUAGAUGCAAAAGCUGCCUCCCUUAUCUGGAACAGAAUAAAUUCCUUUCGAAGGCAAAAUAAAAAACAGAAAGAGAAGUCA
Molecule: long non-coding RNA, 138 nt
Filed under: Dermacentor andersoni
Lineage: Eukaryota; Metazoa; Arthropoda; Arachnida; Ixodida; Ixodidae
Description: uncharacterized LOC126523443
Source: RNAcentral